This 301-nucleotide ribosomal RNA is filed under the name uncultured bacterium. Its description in RNAcentral is "partial 16S ribosomal RNA". It matches the Rfam family "Bacterial small subunit ribosomal RNA", at positions 509 to 807 of the family's 1533-position model. The record is from RNAcentral.
CAGCAGCCACGGUAAUACGUAGGUGGCAAGCGUUGUCCGGAAUUAUUGGGCGUAAAGCGCGCGCAGGUGGUUUAAUAAGUCUGAUGUGAAAGCCCACGGCUCAACCGUGGAGGGUCAUUGGAAACUGUUAAACUUGAGUGCAGGAGAGAAAAGUGGAAUUCCUAGUGUAGCGGUGAAAUGCGUAGAGAUUAGGAGGAACACCAGUGGCGAAGGCGACUCUCUGGUCUGUAACUGACGCUGAGGAGCGAAAGCGUGGGGAGCGAACAGGAUUAGAUACCCCUGUAGUCCCUGUCUCUUAUAC